CCUACGGGAGGCAGCAGUGGGGGAUAUUGCACAAUGGGGGAAACCCUGAUGCAGCGACGCCGCGUGGGUGAAGAAGUAUUUCGGUAUGUAAAGCCCUAUCAGCAGGGAAGAAAGAAGACGGUACCUGACUAAGAAGCCCCGGCUAAAUACGUGCGAGCAGCCGCGGUAAUACGUAGGGGGCGAGCGUUAUCCGGAUUCACUGGGUGUAAAGGGAGCGUAGACGGCCGUGCAAGCCAGGAGUGAAAGCCCGGGGCCCAACCCCGGGACUGCUCUUGGAACUGUGCGGCUGGAGUGCGGGAGGGGCAGGCGGAAUUCCUGGUGUAGCGGUGAAAUGCGUAGAUAUCAGGAGGAACACCGGCGGCGAAGGCAGCCUGCUGGACCGCGACUGACGUUGAGGCUCGAAAGCGUGGGGAGCGAACAGGAUUAGAUACCCCUGUAGUC
Molecule: ribosomal RNA, 441 nt
Filed under: uncultured bacterium
Lineage: Bacteria
Description: partial 16S ribosomal RNA
Rfam family: Bacterial small subunit ribosomal RNA
Source: RNAcentral